CCGCCCGUCACACCAUGGGAGCCGGUAAUACCCAAAGUCGGUUUAGCUAACUACGGAAGCGACUGCCUAAGGUAGGAUUGGUGACUGGGGUGAAGUCGUAACAAGGUAUCCCUACGAGAACGUGGGGAUGGAUCACCUCCUUUCUACGGAGUACAUAAGCUGCAAAGAGCAGCUAUAAUAUGACAUUUGGCACAAAUCUUCCCAAUUAAUUUUGGUUGAAGUCUGUGUGUUGGCGUUGCCAAAGCGCAUCUAAUAUUCAGUUUUGAGGGUUCUACCUCAAAAUUAGUUCUUUGAAAACUGAAUAGCAUAAAUUAAUAUGAUAACGACAUCAAAAUAUGUAAAUAAUUUUGAUCCGAGUUGAGUUCAAUAAUUUGAACUCUAUAAAUACCUUAAGAUACACAUCAAAUUUCAAUAGGAAAUUAGAAAAAAAAUAAUAAUACGAUUACUUAUAUUUACUUUUAAAUAUUUAAGAGUUUGUAGUGGAUGCCUUGGGUCUGGAAGUCGAAGAAGGACGUGAUUACCUGCGAUAAGCUUUGUCUAGUUGGAAAUAAACUAUGAGACAGAGAUCUCCGAAUGGGGAAACCCAGUGCGAUUAAUCUUGCAUUACUACCUUGUGAAUAUAUAGCAAGGAAAGAGACAUACGUUGUGAAUUGAAACAUCUUAGUAGCAACAGGAAAAGAAAAUAAAUAAUGAUUCCGUCAGUAGCGGCGAGCGAACGCGGAAGAGCCCAAACCAAUUUAUUGGGGUUGUAGGACUGCUUACACGGAGUUACAAAAUUAAUGUAUAGAAGAACAAGUUGGGAAGCUUGGACAUAGAGGGUGAUAUCCCCGUAUUCGAAAUGCAUUAAUCUCUUAGCAGUAUCCUGAGUAGGGCGGGGCACGUGAAACCCUGUCUGAAUCCGCCGGGACCACCCGGUAAGGCUAAAUACUAACCAGACACCGAUAGUGAACUA
RNAcentral lists this small RNA (952 nucleotides) under Mycoplasma testudineum. Its description in RNAcentral is "bacterial LSU rRNA". The stretch from base 457 to 952 matches the Rfam family "Bacterial large subunit ribosomal RNA", at positions 1 to 497 of the family's 2925-position model. Lineage: Bacteria; Bacillati; Mycoplasmatota; Mollicutes; Mycoplasmatales; Mycoplasmataceae. The record is from RNAcentral.